ACGAAGGGGGCUAGCGUUGCUCGGAAUUACUGGGCGUAAAGCGCACGUAGGCGGCUUGGUAAGUUUGGUGUGAAAUCCCCGAGCUUAACUUGGGAAUUGCAUUCAAGACUGCCUUGCUAGAGUGUGGGAGAGGGAAGCGGAAUUCCAGGUGUAGCGGUGAAAUGCGUAGAUAUCUGGAGGAACAUCAGUGGCGAAGGCGGCUUUCUGGCCAAACACUGACGCUGAGGUGCGAAAGCGUGGGUAGCAAACAGGA
This 253-nucleotide ribosomal RNA is filed under the name uncultured prokaryote. RNAcentral's name for it is "partial 16S ribosomal RNA". It matches the Rfam family "Bacterial small subunit ribosomal RNA", at positions 525 to 777 of the family's 1533-position model. The record is from RNAcentral.